RNAcentral lists this ribosomal RNA (497 nucleotides) under uncultured bacterium. Its description in RNAcentral is "partial 16S ribosomal RNA". It matches the Rfam family "Bacterial small subunit ribosomal RNA", at positions 28 to 507 of the family's 1533-position model. The record is from RNAcentral.
GAUGAACGCUGGCGGCGUGCCUAACACAUGCAAGUCGAGCGAACAGAUAAGGAGUUUUCUCCUUUGACGUUAGCGGCGGACGGGUGAGUCACACGUGGGUAACCUACCUAUAAGACUGGGAUAACUUCGCGAAACCGGAGCUAAUACCGGAUAACAUUUGGAACCUCAUGGUUCUAAAGUGAAAGAUGGUUUUGCUAUCACUUAUAGAUGGACCCGCGCCGUAUUAGCUAGUUGGUAAGGUAACGGCUUACCAAGGCUACGAUACGUAGCCGACCUGAGAGGGUGAUCAGCCACACUGGAACUGAGACACGGUCCAGACUCCUACGGGAGGCAGCAGUAGGGAAUCUUCCGCAAUGGGCGAAAGCCUGACAGAGCAACGCCGCGUGAGUGAUGAAGGGUUUCGGAUCGUAAAGCUCUGUAAGUAGGGAGGAAGAAAAGUGUAAGUAACUGUGCACGUCUUGACGGUACCUAAAGAAUAAGCCACGGCUAACUACGUG